This is a long non-coding RNA of Hemicordylus capensis (graceful crag lizard), 7060 nucleotides long. RefSeq lists it as uncharacterized. NCBI's taxonomy places the organism in Eukaryota, Metazoa, Chordata, Lepidosauria, Squamata, Cordylidae. The record is from RefSeq and is a predicted model, not a curated record. The transcript is spliced from 11 exons.
CCUGAACUUGAGUAGGGCCCAAGCAAGCCAGGAAGGAGGAGGCAGCCAGAGUGUUCUCUGCAGCAGAAGACCCCUUGCUGCCCUGCCCAGCCCAGCAUUUGCCAGGUUCACACCUUACUUGUCUUCAUUCACAAAGAUUACUAGAACAUAGAAGCUAUCCAUUCUUAGAAAAUAAUCUGGUUGGACCAAGCACAGGAUUUGAACCAAUGCUUCCCUGAGUUCAGUGGAGCUUGGUAAUGCUCCUAUACUUUGUUCUUGAACAGGUUACCAAGUCAGGUACCUUGGUAGACCAGAUAUGGACAAAAAUGUGUCAUGAACACUCUGCCACCAGCUCUCUAUUACAGAAGGAAUCCUAAGACUGCUAGAGAGAUCACGCUGGUGGACCUAAUAGGAAAAGGCAGUCUCUUGGAUCAUAGCCUGUUCUGAGCUCUGCAUGCAGCAGUGAGCACCUCCCAUCAGAUAUGUACCUCUUUUUCCCAUUUAGUAGCAGCAGAACCCUUGCAGUACAUACUGUACCCUUCCUCACUGAAAUUAUGAAUGCACAGAACAAGCCUUUGAUCAUAAGAAUUUCAUACACCCACCCUGUAAAACUCACUAAUACCAGCAAGCCCACCCUCCUGCAUGUGAAUACCCUUAAUAUCUGAAUAGGGCUUAAAACUAUGCUUAAUAGCAUGGCUCCAGAAAUAAAAUUAAAGUUAAUGCAGAAAAAUGGUGUAGUAUGGCAUAUUGUCACGUUACCGUUCUUUGAAUGCACCCAUACAACACUUGCAGUUAGGUCUGCAUUAUAUCUGUGUAUGGCUGGAGAUCACUCUUUUAAGAAAAGAAAGAAAACUUUUAAGAAAAAAACCUGCCCUUGAACAUCAUGAAUUCCUGAGCUAGAUGUCCAAACUCACAUUUUUAUUACAGAAAUUCAGAUAGCAUACCAAAAUGAUUAUUUUGUAGUCAGAAUCAAUACCUGUGGUGAAAAUAAGCUGUUUGUUAGGAGCUGCCUAUGCAGUCAGUGCAAAAAUUGUAAUUGCCUUGACAGUUUCUGUGUAGUGCUGUAAUAAAUUUGCCCUGAAGUUCUAUCUCAAAAUGGUCUUUUGCAAAAGCUGCCAUCAAAAUACUCACUGAGUAUUUGAAUAUUUGCCAAGCAUUCUAUAUUUAAUUUCACAUUUGACAUAUAAGAUUUGAUUUCAGUAUUUGGCAUGAAUUGACAGCUGGUAUCGAACACUAUAUGUUUGCUGAUGUGGAAAAAAGAUUUAGUAGGUGACAGCAUCUAUGGAGGUGCUCCUUUGAUGAGCUGAUCUCAAAACCUGGAUCACCUCCUCAAAAGAAUCCAAAUUCUAAAUAAUCUUUGGGUUGGAUGAUUAUUAGUGUUUACACAAUCAGAAAGGCACUUCUACUCAUGAAACUGGGGGAAGGAUUUCCACACACACACACACACACACACACACACACACACACACACACACACACUGUCAACCCCACUGUGCCAUACCUCAUGCUAUUGCCCUCAGCUUUUCAGGGGCACUGGGGUCUGCAGUUCAGUGGGGGGGUGGGGGCAGGAAGCCUCAUUCAAGCAAUGUGCUACUUGCAGUUUUCUGGAUCCCAGUCAUUGAGUCCAACAUAGUAGAUGAACUAUAUUGUCCUUGUAUUGUUUUUUAUGAACUGAAAUAAAAACAUUUUGGAAGUACAGACGCACUUAGCAUGAUUGGGCUGAAGUUAAGAACUUAAGUCCCAUUGGUUACUAUGGGAAAGAUGUAUUUAACUUUCUUCUUGCAAUCCACAGGGCUUUAAAAAUACUUAAUUUUGCUGAAUUGUGCCAAAUUUCCCUAGCCUUGCAUCAAAUAAAUGAUGUGGCCACAUGUUUCAUAGUGAUGGCCAGAAAGAUAUGGCAAGAACUUCUCUUUCAGACCAAGGCUCUAGAUAAUACAUUUUCAACCAAUUCAUCAGAGAUCUGUAAACUCCCACUGAUACUUUUGGAGUUCAUACAGUUCUUGAAGUUUUAAAAAUGAAACACCCUGACUUAAUUAUUCCCAUGAUUUCUGACUAAUCUUGUAAAUGAAUCAUAAGAAUCAUCAGGCUGGGAAGAACCUUCAUGGUCUCCAACCCCCUGCACUGAAGCAAGGUCCACCCAGUCUCAACCAUCCUUGACAGUUGUUAAUCCACAUGGAUAUGAUUUGUAGAAUGUUGAGAUGCAAUAGCCAUUAACCCACAGCUAACAGCAUCUUUGGCUCCCUCACAGAAAACUAAAGAAUUGUGUCGAAACCACUUCAACCCAGUGUAGGUACUGCCUCUGGGUACCAGUUGCGGGGGAGUAAUGGCAGGAGAGAGGGCACGCCCUCAUCUCCUCCCUGUGGCUUCCAGCAGCAUCUGGUGGGCCACUGUGCAAAACGGGAUGCUGGACUAGAUGGGCCUUGGGCCUGAUCCAGCAGGGCUGUUCUUAUGUUCUUAUGUUGUUCUUAUGUACUGUUACUCCCCAUUGCCAUUGGCAUAUGGGGUUCUACAAGAAUUCAUCUUGUAGAAUGAAGUAUAAUGAAUGAAGGGAUGAAGUAUAAUCUGUAUACGAAUAACAAUCAACUGUUCCUCUUUUUUCAGCAAUCUAAUCCUAGGAAGGCAGUGGAAGCCCUGAACUAAUGUGUGGAGGCAAUUUAGGUCUAGAUGAGGACAAACGAAUCAGAGGCGCUGAAUCCAGACAAGAUGAAGGAUCUGUGGACAGGAAAUAUCAGUGCUCAGGGUGAAGACAUCUGACAUAUUUUGGCUCCCAGCGUUUCAGACAAGGAUCUUUCCCAGCCCUACCUGGAGUGAGACACUGAGGAUUGAAUCUGAGACCUUCUGCAUGCAAAGUAUUGCUCUACCGCAGAUGUUCUCCUGGGUGGGAAACACUUUGGCCCAUAAAGUUUCCUUUCUCAUGGAAAAGAUAUAGAGUAUCAAGUGUAAAGAGAACACUGGAAACUCUUUGGACUGCGCUGUGAAGAAAGAAAUUGCAUCAAGGGUACUGAAUACCAAACUUGCUGAAAGAUUCAUGAAUGGCCUUGCUGAUUGUAACUGCGGCUCUGAAAGCUAGAUUAGUAGAAUACCAAGCUCCAUGUUAGUUACAUUUCUAUAUUAGAGCCAUGGCAUAGGAAAAGAUGAGGACAAGUCUGUACAGAACUGAACUAAUGAAGAAUCAUUGACAUUGCCCUCUACCCACACAAAAAGGCCACGCACAUGACCAUUGUUGGCAGUCAGGUCUCAGCCCAGCUAAACCUCUUACCUGAUGCAAGAGACUCCAGCACUAGGCUCUGCAAAAUGAAGGAAUGGUCUUGAGAGGUUUCAGAGAGUCUUGUAUUACCUAAGGAAGACCUCAGAGGCACUUUUAGGUAGCAAGGCUCCUCUCUCACACACCUAGGUCAUGUGCUCAGCACCCUCCUCCUCAGUUCUGGAGGCCGCCGCCAUAAGGCUCUGCAGCGGGGAAGGAUGGGCAGAUGUGUGACUGGACAGAUGACCACCAGAAGAACUCCAUUUACAGGUAAGCAACCUGCAGUUCUUCUAAGUGGUCUCUGUCCAUCACACAGAUGGGCGCAUCUCAAGCUCCUGGACGGCAGAGGAGAGAAGCAGAGCCCAGAGACCAGGAAAAACCAACAGACAGUGUGUGACCCACAAAGAAACAAAAGGGGGCUCUCUUCAUUUAACACAAGAAUGCUUUAUUGUUCUUAGACCUUGAUUGUGCUGCCUCCACUACAAUUGAAUUAGGGAUUGGGUGCUUAAGGAGAAACAGGGCAUCCUCCGCCUUGACUCUAUAUAGGUUCUCAACCUUCCUUGAAGUGACCGAAGAUGGCUUGACCCAAAAGUGAUGUCCAGAAGGGCCUGAUUCAUUGGAAGCACUAUGCAUCUCUGUGAAUCCCCAUCUAUAACAUUGAAGAAGUGGUUAGAAGAGGGCUUAGUUUCCUCUUGUAACUGGAUUACCAAAUCCCACUGUCAUCUUAGAUACAUGCAGCAAGAAGGAUCUCAGAUCCUCCGAUGGGGAGAGAGGUAUUGCCUUAUCAUGAAGCCUGGACCCUGCAGCAGCAUCCGAGGAGAAGGAAGUAUCAGGCUCCCCUUUUGAGUCUGAGGCUGAGCCUGAGGACUGAGAAGGAGCAGCAGCUGGCAAAGCAGAACCACUCACUGUUUCAAGAGGAGCAGCUUGAGCCAAGCAGUGGGAUGGUUGAUAUCGUGAGGAGGCAUGCCAUCUGCAUGAUUCAAUGUAUCCAGCACUUUCCUGGGCAUGGUAGCGCUCACUCAUAGGUGGGGGAGAUCCACUUCUUGGGUGGCGUAAAGAACCGGAGUGUGGCUGGCAUGGAGACCGUGAUCGAGACCUGUAUCUCCUAUAGCACACCCAAUGUGCAUCCUCAUAUCUCCUAUUAAGCCUGUCAUAGUCACUUGGGCAGUAACUGUUGGCAUGGUAAUUGCAGGCGCUUGCAUAGCCUCCCUCUUCAAAGUCACCAGGAUCAGAUGAUUCUUCCUCAUAUUCGUCAAAGUUGUGACUAAGGUAACAUUUGAUGGGGAGGUAAUGAGGAGAUUCAUUUCCAAUUUCCACCCUGUGCUCUGGGGAAUAGUCCCCCUCCCUGCGGUCAUCCAACCACCAAGGUUCUUCUUCUGAUUCAUAAUCUAGCCCCAUCCUGUCACAGAAAGCUGACCUGUCACUAAGAGUCCCUCAAUCUCCAAAGGAUGACCUGGCCUUGUUGCUUGCAUCAGCCAGGGAAGGGCUAGUUUGCCCUGCAAAAGAUCAUGGACUUGGGCAUUUCCAGGAGGGCGCACUUGGUCCCGAGGGAUUGCCCGUUGUCAGCUAGGAGCCCUGUUAAAGUGGCACGCAGUGCUUUGUUUUAGCUGCAGCUUUUGUAGAGGUCGUGGGCAGCUGCUGCAGCUUUGGCUCCAAACGCAGCGACUGCGCAUGUGCAGAUAAGGCUGGCUCAGAUGUCUUCGGUGUGGGAGACAUCUUUCUCUUCAACUGCGGAGCCGAAGAUGUAACCUUGAGGCCCUGUUCUUGCGUGCUUGUUUAGAAAAACUUUGGCAAUGCACGCAGGAUGAAGUCAAAUGUGUUUCUCCCAGACAAAUCAGGCAAAGAUUAUGUCCUUCUGUUGCGGGGAUAGAAGACGGGCACUGGGAACAACGUUUAAAAGACACUUUGCUAGCCAUACACUGGUAGAGGGGGAAAAUCCCCUUAGGGAAGGAGACUAAACACGGAGUAAAGAAAAGGUGCACAAUAUGAAAGAGAGAAGUAUAACAGUAAGACAGGAGAGAAUAAAAACACAAUAAACAGAACCUAAAUAUAUAUCUACAGAAAAGCCUGCAAGGAAUUCUGCCAAGAUUAUUAUUCUUUGGAGGAUGAAAAAGAAAUGAGGAGAAGGGUGCUGAGCACGUGACCUAGGUGUGAGUGGGGAGGAGCCUAGCUACCUAUCAAGAGAGCCAGAAAAGAAAAGCUUGCACUGCCCACCCCCAGCAGUGUGCCGAGUGGGGCAUGCCAUUGCUGGGGACAGGAGGGAAGCUGCCACCACCCCGCUGUUGUCACUCCCAGUGGGAUGAAGAGGACUAAGAGAGUGCACUGCUGCUGCAGCCACCAUCACCACAGGAGAGGGGCCACUACGGGAAAUCUUCACUUAACCCCUACAGAAUAAGGAACAACUUGACCUCCUUAAGAAGACCAGCUGGAAUCACUAAGAUUGUUCAGGGCAUCGUGUGUCUUGAAUUAACCAUAUUGCUACUUGCCUUGGGAAAGAAAGAACUCAGGACUAUUUGGUAGAAUCCCACAAGGAGAAACUGGGUAUCCAGUUAGUAUAAUAUUAUUAUUGUCAAUAUAGUGUACAGAAUGCCAUAGCUUUGUAUUAAAUAAUCAGUUAUUCCUUAUUGUUAUACUAGAUGUGUUCUAUGCUAGAUUUUGGAGUACAGCUUUAAGUGUGCUUCAAUGGUUUUUCUCUUGUCAAGGCUCAAGGGAUAGAUUUUGUGUCAUGCUCAGAAUUGACGGCCAUCUCUUCUUCUUUUUUCCUCCACCCCGCCCCCCCCCCCCUUCCCUUCUAGCCGUGGUGCAUUUCUGUUCAUGGCAAAUGAAUUCUCAGCCUUGUUCUCACCCAGCAAAAGCUGUGGCUUGGCUUUGCAUGUUGCUCCCCCACACAGUUCACACUGCAGUGGCAGGCAAGGCUGCUGUGUGCCUCAGCAUGCCAUGUCAGUCUGGAGCUGAAUCUGUGAUCCAAAAAAGCACAGCCAUGUGGAUUGUUUUGUUACUUUUCCAGGUGCUGUCUGUAUUUAUCUCUCAUUACGUCUCUAACAUCUAGCUCUUUUUCUACUGACUGAACACACACACACACACUUAUCUGCGGGGGACGGGGGCGGAUCAGGUAACCCUACAGCUUUCCGUGAGUCUCGCCCAGGAGAUGGGAAGUAUGUGACUCUCUCCUGUUUCUUGGUGGCAGCCUGCUCCAGGAUUGUAUAGAGUGAGUCCUUACCAGAACAUUUUCUUGACUGUGAUUACCCAGCAUAAGAACAGCCAGCCAGCUAAUGGCCCCCAAACUCACAGCAAAGCAAACACUCAUAGAUAAGUCUUUUCCCUAGCUCCUUCUCCCCAACACCUUGAAAUAAAGCUCUCAAGAUUUCUCAUCCACACAUCAUAAUUUGAGAAUAUCUAUUUGAAAAGAAAACAUUUGGAAUUCAGGGUAUAGCAAUAUUGAAAGUGGCCCUGGGGCAUUUUAGGCAGCUCACCACCAUCUGCCUCCACAUCCUGCAUCAGCCACCUGCCCACCCCUGAUGGCCUGCCUCCCUUUGCUGGGACGUGCUGAUGCAGUCUGAUUAUAUCACCAUGCCAGCGUAAGCACACUGCCCCAUGCCAGCAACAGAACAAAGGUUGCCUGUUUUCACUGGGAUGGGCAGCUGUGCGCUCAGCAACACAGACAGCACUGGGCCCGGACAGCACCACCAAUUGCCCAGUGCAGGAGGAGCAGAAAAGUGCAGGAGGAGGCCCCUGGGCACCAGUGGCCCACAUCUUGAGGGAGGCCCACGGGCAGCCACACCACCUGCCCUUUUUUAUAGUGAACAACAACAACUAGCUGGCCCGAGUACAGACCAU